This 157-nucleotide small nuclear RNA is filed under the name Dromaius novaehollandiae (emu). RNAcentral's name for it is "U1 spliceosomal RNA (ENSDNVG00000019205.1)". The record is from RNAcentral. Lineage: Eukaryota; Metazoa; Chordata; Aves; Casuariiformes; Dromaiidae.
GCCCUUACCCAAUAGGGUAGACACCAAGCUCAGUAACAUGUUCUUCCUGAGGUAAGGCUCCUCAUUUGUAUUCCAGGUGUGCUGGCUCUUGUGAUUUCCCUGAAUAUGGAGAAGUUGACUGCAUACUUUGCAGUGGAGGACUGUAUUUACACCUUUA